GUCUAGCCCUGAUUGAAACGACAUCCUUUUUUUUAUUUUCGAAAAAAAGAUAUAGUGUAAAGCAGGAAAUAGC
Molecule: small RNA, 73 nt
Filed under: Polaribacter sp. SA4-12
Lineage: Bacteria; Pseudomonadati; Bacteroidota; Flavobacteriia; Flavobacteriales; Flavobacteriaceae
Description: Flavo-1 RNA
Rfam family: Flavo-1 RNA
Source: Rfam by way of RNAcentral